This 255-nucleotide long non-coding RNA is filed under the name Sus scrofa (pig). Its description in RNAcentral is "lncRNA (ENSSSCG00015063363.1)". The record is from RNAcentral. Lineage: Eukaryota; Metazoa; Chordata; Mammalia; Artiodactyla; Suidae.
CCCGCCCCGCCUCCCCCGCCUGGCCUCAGCUGCAGCUUCACCGACUCCCGCGCUGAGGAGCACCCUGGGAACCUGCGGGAGCGGAGCGUGGAUUACGAUGCACAUGAGAAGGCUUGGAAAGAAGAAUGGAUGUCCCCAAAUAUACAACACAUCCAGCAAGGAGGGCUGUGUGACUGGAAGGAUAUGAGCGAAGGGGAGAGGCGUAAGGAACGGAAUUAAAACAAUCAGAAGCUGGGAUCAAACAAUUAGGAUCUG